ACGAACGCUGGCGGCGUGCCUAAUACCUGCAAGUUGAGCGCUGAAGGUUGGUACUUGUACCAACUGGAUGAGCAGCGAACGGGUGAGUAACGCGUGGGGAAUCUGCCUUUGAGCGGGGGACAACAUUUGGAAACGAAUGCUAAUACCGCAUAAAAACUUUAAACACAAGUUUUCAGUUUGAAAGAUGCAAUUGCAUCACUCAAAGAUGAUCCCGCGUUGUAUUAGCUAGUUGGUGAGGUAAAGGCUCACCAAGGCGAUGAUACAUAGCCGACCUGAGAGGGUGAUCGGCCACAUUGGGACUGAGACACGGCCCAAACUCCUACGGGAGGCAGCAGUAGGGAAUCUUCGGCAAUGGACGAAAGUCUGACCGAGCAACGACGCGUGAGUGAAGAAGGUUUUCGGAUCGUAAAACUCUGUUGGUAGAGAAGAACGUUAGUGAGAGUGGAAAGCUCAUCAAGUGACGGUAACUACCCAGAAAGGGACGGCUAACUACGUG
Molecule: ribosomal RNA, 496 nt
Filed under: uncultured bacterium
Lineage: Bacteria
Description: partial 16S ribosomal RNA
Rfam family: Bacterial small subunit ribosomal RNA
Source: RNAcentral